CCUACGGGUGGCAGCAGUGGGGGAUAUUGCACAAUGGGGGAAACCCUGAUGCAGCGACGCCGCGUGUGGGAAGACGGUCUUCUGGAUUGUAAACCACUGUCCCCAGGGACGAAAAUGACGGUACCUGGGGAGGACGCUCCGGCUAACUACGUGCCAGCAGCCGCGGUAAUACGUAGGGAGCAAGCGUUGUCCGGAAUUACUGGGUGUAAAGGGAGCGUAGGCGGGGAUGCAAGUUGGGUGUCAAAACUACCGGCUCAACCGAUAGUCGCACUCAAAACUGCAACUCUUGAGUGAAGUAGAGGCAGGCGGAAUUCCUAGUGUAGCGGUGAAAUGCGUAGAUAUUAGGAGGAACACCAGUGGCGAAGGUGGCCUGCUGGGCUUUGACUGACGCUGAGGCUCGAAAGUGUGGGGAGCAAACAGGAUUAGAUACCCGAGUAGUC
RNAcentral lists this ribosomal RNA (440 nucleotides) under uncultured bacterium. Its description in RNAcentral is "partial 16S ribosomal RNA". It matches the Rfam family "Bacterial small subunit ribosomal RNA", at positions 338 to 795 of the family's 1533-position model. The record is from RNAcentral.